UUUGGUAUAUAAAGGAUUUUUUUUUAAGGGAAGGGAGUGAACAUUUCAGAGUUAUUUAUUUAUAUAUAUAAAAUGAAUAGAUGAUUUUGCAGGAUCGAUAUGUUUAUAUAUUUUUUUGAGAGAUAGAUAACACACUACCCGCUUCGUUUAUUUCAUUUAGAAAUAAAUUUAGCUAGAAAUGUGAAUCAACUAGGAUUCGAACUUGAGUCUCGGGUACCAAUCACCAAGCCUUUUGCCACUUGCUCUAGGGACGAUCGAUAUCGAUAUAUUUAUGUAGAAGCCGGGAAAUGAACUUUUUUUACUGCUGUGU
This 310-nucleotide long non-coding RNA is filed under the name Ananas comosus (pineapple). RNAcentral's name for it is "long non-coding RNA (ACOM_LNC015885)". The record is from RNAcentral. Lineage: Eukaryota; Viridiplantae; Streptophyta; Magnoliopsida; Poales; Bromeliaceae.